CUACGACCUCAGAUAAGGCAUGGCAACCUACUGAAUUUAGCAUAUUACUAAGCGGAGGAAAAGAAACUAACCAGGAUUCCCUCAGUAAUGGCGAGUGAAGAGCCCAGCGUCGAACCCCAUCCAGCGGCAGGCGCAGGAAAUGUGGCAUACUGAAGACUGACUCCCCGGUAUCACUGAGGGAGCCCAAGUCCUUCUUAUCAAGGCUCACCCUGCAGACGGUGUUCAGCAAGUAGUGGCCCAUCGCGCAGUGGUAUCAGGGGUCUGUCGGCUUGAGAAUGCAUGCCAUAGCGGGUGGUAAAGUCAUACAGGUGUGGGACCGAUAGCCAACAAGUACUGAAAGGGAAAGAGGGGAUUCAAAAUGUUGAGAGGUAAACGGGUGGGGUCUCCUUAGUCCGCCCGGAGGACUUAACACGGCAGGCAGGUCAGUCACCUGGAAUGAGGGACCUCUUGCAGGACUGCCGCCCAGGUGCACCUGGCUUCUGCAUGGCACAUUUCCUCCAUGGUGGUGCACCACGACUGGUUCUAGGUUGACUGGCAAGGAGUAUGGUGGUUCUCCUCUACGGUAGAGAUUGUUACAGCCUCCUGGCAGCAGUUUCACCAUGCGCUCGGGCCGAGGGAGAUUGACUGCUGCCGUGCUCUCCUCCGGCAUCCGUCCCGGCCCCUCUUGGGGGUCACUGGGGAGUACGAUGGGGAACUGGGCACCCUGCUCCCUGUGUGACUGUCAACCGUGGUGGACUGUCCUCAUUGCUUCCUCAUCCCGAAGGCCGCGAGAGGUCGCCAGUGUUGUUGGUUACCCAACCGACCCGUCUUGAAACACAGACCAAGGAGUCUAACACAUGCGUGAGUCGGAGGGCUGAAUGAAACCUCAUGGCACAAUGAAGGUGAGUGCCAGUGCGCACCGGCUGAGGCGGGAUCCUGUUGCAGAGUUGCUGCUGGUGCACCACCAGCCCAUCUCGCCUGCUCUAACAGGGAGGUGAAGCAUUAGUGUGUGUGAUAGGACCCAAAGAUGGUGAACUAUGCCUGGGCAGGGCAAAGCCAGAGGACACUCAGGUGGAGGUCCGUAGCAGCCCUGACUUGCAAAUCGGUCAUCUGACCUGGGUAUAUGGGCGAAAGACUAAUUGAACCAUCUAGUAGCUGGUUCCCUGUGAAGUUUUCCUCAGAAUAGCUGGCGCUCGGAAACCCCAGUUUUAUCUGGUAAAGAGAAUGAUGAAAUGUCUGUGGACCAAAACUAUCUCUACAUAUUCUCAAACUUUAAAUGGGUAAGAAUUCCGGCUCAAUGGCGUGCAACUGGGCAUCAAAUGCGAGUGCACAGUGGGCCACUUUUGGUGAGCAGAACUAGCAGUGCAGGAUUAACCAAAUGCUGGGUUAAGGCGCCUGAUGUCAAUGAUCAUCAGAUCUCAUGAAAGGUGUUGGUUGAUAUAGACCACAGUACUGUGGCCUUGGAAGUUGGAAUCUGCUAAGGAGUGUGUAACAAAAUUAACCUGCCGAAUUGACUAGCACUGAAAAUGGAUGGCAAAUUAAGCACAUACCCGGCCAUCAACAGCACUGUGAGCCGUGGGGGCUAAGCCACAAUGAGUAUGAGGGCCGUUGUGGUGUGCACGGAAUCCCGGGUGAGUAGUAGCAAAUAUUCAGAUGAGAACUUUGAAGGAUAAAUUGGCAAAGGGUUCCUAUUACAAAGCAGUUGAACAUGGGUCAGUCGGUCCUAAGAGAUGGGUGAGCACCAUUCAGAGGGAUGGGUGAUGGCCUCUGUUGCCCCAGCUGAUCGAAAGGGAGCCGGGUUCAGAUCCCCGAUCCCGGAGUGGUGGAGACGGGUACCCUUGUGACAUCCAGUGUAGUAAUACAAAUGAUCCCUCAGUAGCCAAAGGGAGCCACGGGAAGUGUUUUCUUUUCUUUGUGAAGGGCAGGGCACACUGGAAUGGGUUUGUCCUGAGAGUGAGGCCCGAGUAUUGUAAAGCAUUGAGGUUCCGGGAGCACCCAGUGAACUUUUGCUGGCCAUUGAAAAUCUGGGGGGAGAGGGUGUAAAUCUCACGCCGGCCGUACCUAUAUCCACAGCAGGUCCCCAAGGUGAACAGCUUCUGGCAUGUUGGGACAAUGUAGGAAAGGAAGUCGGCAAGUCAGCAAGUCAGAUCAGUAACUUUGGGAUAAGUAUUGUCUCUAAGGGAUGGAUCAUUCGGGCUGGGGUGCGUAUCUCCCAUGGGGGCAAUGCCGACUCUGGACCUGGUUGCCUCCCUCCGUUCCUUUCCUGGGGUUCAGGGCCAGUGUUCUGCCUCGGCCAAUACCUAGCAGCUGACUUAGAACUGGUGCGGACUAAAGGAAUCCGAUAGCUUAAUUAUAACAAAGCAUUGUGAAGGCCUGCGUUGGGUGUUAACGCAAUGUGAUUUCUGCCCAGUGCUCUGAAUGUCAAAGUGAAGAAAUUCAAUGAAGCGUGGGUAAACGGCGAGAAAACUAUGACUCUCUUAAGGUAGCCAAAUGCCUUGUCAUCUAAUUAGUGAUGCAAAUUAAGGGAUGAACAUGAUUUCAACUGUACCUACCCACACUCUAAUGAAACCACAGCCAAGGGAACGGUUUUGGCAAAAUCAGCAGGGAUAGAAGACCACGUUGAACUUAACUCUCUUCUGGCACUUUGAAGAGACAUAAGAGGUGUAGGAUAAGUGGGAGGUCCUCGGGCUGCUGGUGAAAUACCACUAAUUUUAUUGCUUUUUCACUUACCCGGUGAGGGGGGGCAGCCCUGUGGGGCUCUUGCUUCUGGUUACAAUGACCUGCACCGGGGACAGUGGCAGGUGGGAGUUUGACUGGGGCGGUACAACUGUCAAACGAUAAUGCUGGUGUCCUAAGGCGAGCUAAACAAAGACAGAAACCUCUUGCAGGACAGAAGGGCAAACGCUUGAUUGAUCUCGAUUUUCAGUAUGAAUAAAGCAGGGCCUCACAAUCCUUCUGACUUUUGGGUUUCAAGCAGAAGGUGUCAUAAAAGUUACCAUGGAUUUUUGGCGGCCAAGUUUUCAUAGCGACAUCGCUUUUUGAUCCUUCGAUGUUGCUAUUCCUAUCAUUGUGAAGCAGAAUUCACCAAGCGUUGGAUUGUUCACCCACUAAUAGGGAAAUGAGCUGGGUUUAGACAAUUUUGAAACUGGUUUUACCCUUCUGAUGAUGUGUCAUUGCAAUAGUGAUCCUGCAGAGUACGAGAGUAACCACAGGUUCAGACAUUAGGUGGAUGUGUUUGACUGAGGAACAAAUGAGGCAAAGCUACCACCUGUGGGAUUAUGACUGAACGCCUCUAAAUCAGAAUCCCUCUAAACCGUAAUGAUACCACAGCACUGUGAGAUCUCAGUCAGCCUAGGAUAGCCAGCCGCAGGACGAGUGCGCAGUGCCGCCCGUAUUAGGUUUCGAGUCUGAACAGAAGGGCCACCUCUCU
Molecule: ribosomal RNA, 3409 nt
Filed under: Ambystoma mexicanum (axolotl)
Lineage: Eukaryota; Metazoa; Chordata; Amphibia; Caudata; Ambystomatidae
Description: eukaryotic LSU rRNA
Rfam family: Eukaryotic large subunit ribosomal RNA
Source: RNAcentral